This is a long non-coding RNA of Megalobrama amblycephala (Wuchang bream), 1355 nucleotides long. RefSeq lists it as uncharacterized. The record is from RefSeq and is a predicted model, not a curated record. Lineage: Eukaryota; Metazoa; Chordata; Actinopteri; Cypriniformes; Xenocyprididae. The transcript has 2 exons.
AAAAAUAUACCAGGAUAACCUGGCUUCUCUCAAGACUCCCCUGCUAGUUCACUGUUAAUGAUAUGCUAAAACCCGCCGGCACGUUGACGUGAUUGGUUACAAGGUAGUUUGUGACGUCACAGACACCAGAGAUUUCAAUCUGCAGUUUUAUGGAGAAAAUACUUGACAUGUUGACAUACGAAUUUGCACAUGGUUUGUCUUAAAGCAUAUUAAAAACACCACAUAGACAUAUAAACAACAUUAAAAACUAGAUUUUUACCACAGGGGGUCUUUAAUAAGAAGAUCAUAGGAAUAGGAACUUUAAUAGGAAUAAGGAAAAAUGGGAAUAGGAAUAAUAUUUUUAUUUAUUAUUUUAUUAUUCUAAAUGUGGCACAUCUGUCAUAUAAACAUUAGUAAAAAAAAGUACGGACACCCAGCCAGCGAUUAAAAAUCCUUCAUGUACAUUGGCUUCGUUUGAUGUGAUACUUGUAUCUAUAGUUAGAACAUCCCUGCAACUGUUCUGAUUUGACAUCAUGCCACCUGACUAGCAGCUAUCACAGAUUCCAGACUCCAAAACCCAAAUCGGGAAGACCAACUCGAAUGAUUCUGAUGAGUGGCCACCAAAUUAGUUGUAAGAAACUACAUUUAGAACAUCUAUGUUAAGUCCAAUAAUGUUAUGAGAAAGUAUAAAGUAAGUCUAUAAACAGGGAGUAAGUCUUUAAACCAGAAGAAGAUAAUUUUAGAGUUUAGAGGUGUCAGAACUCAAAGUUACAUGAGGUUGUUAGCUCUGCAUUGUAAAAACUCCACAGGCGCUAUAAUAAGUCAAAGUACAUGCAUAGUUCAUUACACCCAACAGAGUGAAAAGUUUUUGUCCUGUAGAAAACAUACAAGUGUCUGUUCAAGGUACGCAAGGUGGUGAGAGACUUUGGCGCAAUACAAAGUGCUCUGGCCUCUUCUGAUAUUUGAGUGCUGCCUCCAAGUUGUCCAAGGUAAUAAAUCCUUUGAGCUGUGUGUGUCUGUGUGUGUGUGCUGUUCCCAUGUAUUUAACCUUGGCUUCCGCCAAAAGCAAGUUCUCCUGGGAACUUUGGGAAGAAUCCUCAUUCCUGUUGACACCUUACUGUUAUGAAAUGACUUUUGAAAUGAUUUCAUCUUGAUGAAGGUGUAUAGUUUUAUUUCAGAUUGAUAGUCAAAUACCAGAAUGAAUUGUUGAAACGAGUUUAUUUUAAGCUUUAUGACUUUGAUUAACUGAAUAGUUCUGAAAUUACAAAAAAUAACAAAUAGAACUUUUACGGAUAUUCAGCGGUGGUGCAAAUGGUUGAUGUUUUUGCUCUAUAAUUCCCUGUAAAACAAAGCCAUUAAAGAAAUAAUUUAUGGUG